This 24-nucleotide ribosomal RNA is filed under the name Aconitum flavum. Its description in RNAcentral is "partial 26S ribosomal RNA". Lineage: Eukaryota; Viridiplantae; Streptophyta; Magnoliopsida; Ranunculales; Ranunculaceae. The record is from RNAcentral.
GCGACCCCAGGUCAGGCGGGAUCA